RNAcentral lists this ribosomal RNA (608 nucleotides) under Parasola plicatilis. Its description in RNAcentral is "eukaryotic LSU rRNA". It matches the Rfam family "Eukaryotic large subunit ribosomal RNA", at positions 47 to 640 of the family's 3401-position model. The record is from RNAcentral. Lineage: Eukaryota; Fungi; Basidiomycota; Agaricomycetes; Agaricales; Psathyrellaceae.
UAAGCGGAGGAAAAGAAACUAACAAGGAUUCCCCUAGUAACUGCGAGUGAAGAGGGAAAAGCUCAAAUUUAAAAUCUGGCAGCCUUUGGUUGUCCGAGUUGUAAUCUAGAGAAGUGUUACCCGCGCCGGACCGUGUAUAAGUCUCCUGGAAUGGAGCGUCAUAGAGGGUGAGAAUCCCGUCUUCGACACGGAUCCCCGGGGCUUUGUGGUGCGCUCUCAAAGAGUCGAGUUGUUUGGGAAUGCAGCUCAAAAUGGGUGGUAAAUUCCAUCUAAAGCUAAAUAUUGGCGAGAGACCGAUAGCGAACAAGUACCGUGAGGGAAAGAUGAAAAGAACUUUGGAAAGAGAGUUAAACAGUACGUGAAAUUGCUGAAAGGGAAACGCUUGAAGUCAGUCGCGUUGGCUGGAAAUCAACCUUGCUUUUGCUGGGUGUACUUUCCAGUUGACGGGCCAGCAUCAGUUUUGACCGGUGGAAAAAGUCUAGAGGAAUGUGGCACCUUCGGGUGUGUUAUAGCCUCUGGUCGUAUACAUCGGUUGGGACUGAGGAACUCAGCACGCCGCAAGGCGGUCUUCGGACACGUUCGUGCUUAGGAUGCUGGCAUAAUGGCUU